GUCGUGGCCGAGUGGUUAAGGCGAUAGUCAAGAAAUCUUUUGGGAUCGUUCGAAUCCUGCCGCGACG
RNAcentral lists this transfer RNA (67 nucleotides) under Dreissena polymorpha. RNAcentral describes it as "tRNA-Ser". Lineage: Eukaryota; Metazoa; Mollusca; Bivalvia; Myida; Dreissenidae. The record is from RNAcentral.